AGGAGUGUAGCUCAAUUGGUAGAGCGCCGGUCUCCAAAACCGGAGGUUGCGGGUUCGAGCCCCUCCACUCCUGCCA
Molecule: transfer RNA, 76 nt
Filed under: Alphaproteobacteria bacterium
Lineage: Bacteria; Pseudomonadati; Pseudomonadota; Alphaproteobacteria
Description: tRNA-Trp
Rfam family: tRNA
About the family: Transfer RNA (tRNA) molecules are approximately 80 nucleotides in length. Their secondary structure includes four short double-helical elements and three loops (D, anti-codon, and T loops).
Source: RNAcentral